GAUGAACGCUAGCGGGAGGCCUAACACAUGCAAGCCGAGCGGUAUUGUUUCUUCGGACAUGAGAGAGCGGCGUACGGGUGCGUAACACGUGUGCAACCUGCCUUUAUCUGGGGGAUAGCCUUUCGAAAGGAAGAUUAAUACUCCAUAAUAUAUUGAACGGCAUCGUUUAAUAUUGAAAGCUCCGGCGGAUAGAGAUGGGCACGCGCAAGAUUAGCUAGUUGGUGAGGUAACGGCUCACCAAGGCGAUGAUCUUUAGGGGGCCGAGAGGGUGAUCCCCCACACUGGUACUGAGACACGGACCAGACUCCUACGGGAGGCAGCAGUGAGGAAUAUUGGUCAAUGGGUGCAAGCCUGAACCAGCCAUCCCGCGUGAAGGACGACUGCCCUAUGGGUUGUAAACUUCUUUUGUAUAGGGAUAAACCUACCCUCGAGAGGGUAGCUGAAGGUACUAUACGAAUAAGCACCGGCUAACUCCGUG
This 478-nucleotide ribosomal RNA is filed under the name uncultured bacterium. RNAcentral's name for it is "partial 16S ribosomal RNA". It matches the Rfam family "Bacterial small subunit ribosomal RNA", at positions 28 to 507 of the family's 1533-position model. The record is from RNAcentral.